AGUGAACGCUGGCGGCGUGCUUAACACAUGCAAGUCGAACGAGAACGGAAUAUAGCUUGCCAUAUUUGUCAGCUAAGUGGCGCACGGGUGAGUAAUGUAUAGAUAACCUGCCCUUAAGUAAGGAAUAACAGUUGGAAACGACUGCUAAUGCCCUAUAUGCCUUUAAUACAUAAGUAUGCAAGGGAAACGCUUUAGUGCUUAAGGAUGGGUCUGUAUGGUAUCAGCUUGUUGGUGAGGUAAUGGCUCACCAAGGCUAUGACGCCUAACUGGUUUGAGAGGAUGAUCAGUCACACUGGAACUGAGACACGGUCCAGACUCCUACGGGAGGCAGCAGUGGGGAAUAUUGCACAAUGGACGAAAGUCUGAUGCAGCAGCGCCGCGUGGAGGAUGACACAUUUCGGUGCGUAAACUCCUUUUAUAUGAGAAGAUAAUGACGGUAUUAUAUGAAUAAGCACCGGCUAACUCCGUGCCAGCCGCCGCCGUAA
This 485-nucleotide ribosomal RNA is filed under the name uncultured bacterium. RNAcentral describes it as "partial 16S ribosomal RNA". It matches the Rfam family "Bacterial small subunit ribosomal RNA", at positions 29 to 523 of the family's 1533-position model. The record is from RNAcentral.